UACGAAGGGGGCUAGCGUUGCUCGGAAUCACUGGGCGUAAAGCGCACGUAGGCGGAUUGUUAAGUCAGGGGUGAAAUCCUGGAGCUCAACUCCAGAACUGCCUUUGAUACUGGCGAUCUCGAGUCCGGGAGAGGUGAGUGGAACUGCGAGUGUAGAGGUGAAAUUCGUAGAUAUUCGCAAGAACACCAGUGGCGAAGGCGGCUCACUGGCCCGGUACUGACGCUGAGGCACGAAAGCGUGAGGAGCAAACAGG
This 253-nucleotide ribosomal RNA is filed under the name uncultured bacterium. Its description in RNAcentral is "partial 16S ribosomal RNA". It matches the Rfam family "Bacterial small subunit ribosomal RNA", at positions 524 to 776 of the family's 1533-position model. The record is from RNAcentral.